UUUUUCUUCUUAAUUCAAAGCUGAAAUUUUGGAUAGACUCAUCAUAAUAUUUCUAUUUAGGUUUCCCUGAUAUAACUAAAAAAAUGUGAUGAUAUGCUGCUUGAACUAGUCGACUGUGGUAACCAAAUUGUAAGACAAAAUGCACAAAUACUAUUGCAAUAGAUUUAAAAAAACAGCCAGUUUAGGACUAUUUGCUUCCAAAAAUCGAAGUUAGCAUCCCUCUAUGUGGAAGAUCAAAUAGUGGAUUUUUUUUUUUUUUUCACAAAAAUCAAUAGCAUAUGUUUGCCAAAGUUGUAAAAAGAAUAAAUGAGUGUUGACUAAAGCCACCGUUAUUAGAGGUUAAGUGCACAAAGAGGUAGACCCAUGGUUGGCUGGGGAUAUUAUGGACAAAUUUAACAGAAAUGUUUUAGCAGACAUUAAGGAUUCAAAUGUCAACUGCAUUUUCCUUCCACAGACUUGCCUGUCUUAUGAAUACUGGCAGGAUAUCUCUCAGUUUUUUUUUAUAUUAACCAAUACUAAAUUUGCCUAUGUGUUUGCUAAAAGACAAAAAACUAUUGAAACAAUCAUAACCCUGUGAAUCAUUUACCUUCAUUUCAAACAAUAAUGGGUGUAAUAAAAAAAUGUUCUUUUCAAAUUCUUCAACUUUUUCUUUACUUUCAUUUGAGUCAAGAUUGUCUUUGUUUUCAUGGUGUCUUCAUGUCAGUGUUAAUCUAUUAACAUUUCAACCGGCUAAUGUGAGUUGAAAUGUUUCACAAGGCUUUUCCACUUUAACUUUAUUGGUCACAAUUUAAAAAAAAAUUUGGAACUGGGUCAAAACUUCAGAACUGACCAAAAGAAUAUUUUAUUGUCAAGAAGAAAUAAAAACAUAUUAAAGGCUAAUACUUUGUUAUUAGAGGUUAAGAGUGGUUGUUAUUCUGUGUUACAUUUUUUUAUUAUUUUAUAUUUGUUCAAUAUGCAAAUGAAUUGUAUUAACCUUGCUAAGAGUGCAAAAUAACAGGCUGCUUUCUAUGGAACAGAACUAUGACAAAGACAAGCAAUUUAGUGCCAAGUCUUUACCAGAGAAUGAAUGGCUCGAUUCAGCUAAUUCAGCUUCUCUGGACCAUAUAUUAAAAGAUGUUGCAGAGAGGUGAAAAGCAUUGAACCAUCUGAAUCAAUUACCCAAAGAGCAUUAAGCUGAUUUAUUCCAACUCUAAACCCAAAGCUUCUGCAUUAGUUCUGCUUUGUCAUCAGUUUAACUCCUGCCUCAUUUCCAUAUCAGUGUAUGAAAUGAAAUAUGUGAAUUUCUUAUGAAAUUUCAUGCAAUUUUCAUAUUGUGUGUGUGGUAAAUACUAAUAUUUACAGUGAUAAAAAGAAUUCUGCUCUAUAACAAUAUUUACUUUUUUGAAGUGUUAUGGAAGAAAAUGUUAACACUGUGCCUUUCUGUUUCUGUCUGUCUCUUAGUCCUGAACUCAUUAAUACGUAUAUUACCAUCUGUCAGCCUCCCCUCCUUGCUGAGGGAUUUCAAACUGCUGAGCAUGGUUAAAUCCUUAGCCCUUGUCUUAGUGACAGAGAUACCACAUAACCAAGUUGGCGUUACUGGCUUCACGAGCUGUUUCUGUUUUCUAUGGCCUAACAAAUGCUUAAGAAACAGAAGCAUGGUUUAAAAGAGAAGCAAAGAAGAUACCUGUCUCAAUUUCUGAUGUUCUUCAAUAUUUCUCAAAUCUAAAAUAUAAAUCUUCUUCAAGCUUCUGAAAGCAGUUUACAUCUGGAACUAUAAAAUGGCAAAUGCUGAUGAAACAAAUGGCAGCCAGGAUCCAGAGGCUCCGGAGGAAGACCUGGAUGAUGAACAGCAAGCUUUGCUGCAUUUCAGUAAACGUGUAGAAAGUCAGCAUGCGCAACCAUGGGAGCAAUGGACCUUCAGAGAAAAGGCAAACUAUUGUAUGGAUCGUAUCUUUCUUGCCUUUUUAAUCAUCUUUGUGAUGAUUUUGUUCAUCGAAUGUUUGUAUAAAAUUUGGUAUGUGUCAAAUGUGAAGAAGAUAGCAGAGUUUGUGUCAGACUCUGUCGUGUUUCUGAUCGACUGGCUCUUUACUCAAGAGAAACAGGAGGAGCUGGUUGAAUUGUAGGAUAUGAAAAAAGGUGUUCACAUCAUUACUUUUACACUUUUUGUAUCUCGUGCGAUAUUUAUGUAACAGUGAAAACUGUUCCAGUUUCUACAGGAACGACACUGCAGUCUAGCUCCUAUAGACUGUAGUAACUACAGGAACUACAGCUACAUAAUAAAACAAAUAUUUUGCAACUCUG
Long non-coding RNA from Poeciliopsis prolifica (blackstripe livebearer), 2280 nucleotides. RefSeq lists it as uncharacterized. The transcript is spliced from 2 exons. The record is from RefSeq and is a predicted model, not a curated record. Lineage: Eukaryota; Metazoa; Chordata; Actinopteri; Cyprinodontiformes; Poeciliidae.